UGGGGUGUUGCUCAGUGGUAGAGCACUUGUCUAGCAUGUGCAAGGCACUGGGUUCAAUUCUCAGCACCACAU
Molecule: transfer RNA, 72 nt
Filed under: Ictidomys tridecemlineatus (thirteen-lined ground squirrel)
Lineage: Eukaryota; Metazoa; Chordata; Mammalia; Rodentia; Sciuridae
Description: Spermophilus tridecemlineatus (thirteen-lined ground squirrel) tRNA
Rfam family: tRNA
About the family: Transfer RNA (tRNA) molecules are approximately 80 nucleotides in length. Their secondary structure includes four short double-helical elements and three loops (D, anti-codon, and T loops).
Source: Rfam by way of RNAcentral